GCACGAGAAAGGGCUUCGGCCCCGGUACAGUGGCGCACGGGUGAGUAACACGUGGGUAAUGUUCCCUCGGGCGGGGGAUAACCCUCCGAAAGGAAGGCUAAUACCGCAUAAGACCACGGCUUCGAAAGAGGCCGAGGUAAAAGCAGGCCUCUUCAUGAAAGCUUGCACCUGAGGAUCAGCCCGCGGCCCAUCAGCUAGUUGGCAGGGUAAGAGCCUACCAAGGCUAAGACGGGUAGCUGGUCUGAGAGGAUGAUCAGCCACACUGGAACUGAGACACGGUCCAGACUCCUACGGGAGGCAGCAGUGGGGAAUCUUGCGCAAUGGGCGAAAGCCUGACGCAGCGACGCCGCGUGGGUGAUGAAGGCCUUCGGGUUGUAAAGCCCUGUGGGGAGAGACGAAUAAGUCGGAGCCAUACCUCCGGCGAUGACGGUAUCUCCUUAGCAAGCACCGGCUAACUCUGUG
Molecule: ribosomal RNA, 462 nt
Filed under: uncultured bacterium
Lineage: Bacteria
Description: bacterial SSU rRNA
Rfam family: Bacterial small subunit ribosomal RNA
Source: RNAcentral